AGUAAUCCACCUGGGGAGUACGACCGCAAGGUUGAAACUCAAAGGAAUUGACGGGGGCCCGCACAAGCAGUGGAGUAUGUGGUUUAAUUCGACGCAACGCGAAGAACCUUACCAAGUCUUGACAUCCCUUGACGGUGCUGGAAACAGUACUUUCCUUCGGGACGCAGAGACAGGUGGUGCAUGGUUGUCGUCAGCUCGUGUCGUGAGAUGUUGGGUUAAGUCCCGCAACGAGCGCAACCCUUAUGGUCAGUUACUACGCAAGAGGACUCUGGCCAGACUGCCGUUGACAAAAC
This 293-nucleotide ribosomal RNA is filed under the name Faecalibacterium prausnitzii. Its description in RNAcentral is "partial 16S ribosomal RNA". It matches the Rfam family "Bacterial small subunit ribosomal RNA", at positions 863 to 1164 of the family's 1533-position model. Lineage: Bacteria; Bacillati; Bacillota; Clostridia; Eubacteriales; Oscillospiraceae. The record is from RNAcentral.